UGGCCUAAUUUUAUCCCUCCCCUCCCCCAGGUCUCCUGCGUCCAAUCACGACCCGACCCCGACGCUGAUGAGCCCCAGUUCUCGGAGCUCCGCGAGGCCGCCUCCGAUUGGCUGUUCGAGGUGGGCGUGGCCCAGCGCCGGGUGGGCGUGGCCUUCCCCCCUCCGGGGCUGUUCCGCCGCCUCCUCCCCUCCCUAUUGGCYGCUUUGGCUGACCCCGCCCACCCGGGGGCGCGGUCCUGGGCGGCGGCCGUGAUUGGCCGGCUAAGCCACGCCCUCCCGGAGGAGGAGGCCACGCCCCUUUUGCCGUAUUUGGGCGCCGCGUUCCGAUUGGCCGUGAGGGACUCGGAUGAUGAGGUCAGAGCCAACGCCUUCUACGCCAUUGGACGGAUCGGGGAGGCGGCGGGGAGCCACGCCCAUCGAGAGGGGGCGUGGCCGGGGGCGGAGCUCUG
This is a long non-coding RNA of Malurus melanocephalus (red-backed fairy wren), 449 nucleotides long. RefSeq lists it as uncharacterized. Lineage: Eukaryota; Metazoa; Chordata; Aves; Passeriformes; Maluridae. The record is from RefSeq and is a predicted model, not a curated record. The transcript has 3 exons.